This is a long non-coding RNA of Gadus macrocephalus (Pacific cod), 7997 nucleotides long. RefSeq lists it as uncharacterized. The transcript is spliced from 2 exons. The record is from RefSeq and is a predicted model, not a curated record. NCBI's taxonomy places the organism in Eukaryota, Metazoa, Chordata, Actinopteri, Gadiformes, Gadidae.
UAUACAUGACAAUGCAUUUUUGAACUUUGCCUGUGUUUUCUUUUACUUAGCCUAUCUAUUUGAUUGUAUUGUAUAUUUAUUGUAUUUCUUCAUGUAUGAAAAGUGCUAUGUAAAUUAAGUUGCAUUGCCUUAAAUAAAAAAUUAUAUAUUACAAGUAAUCUGAUUUCUACCUACAUGGUGUGAUUAAACUGUAUGUGACUUGAUUUCGUCUAUUUCCCAUUAUGGUUAAUGAUUUGGGUACUUAGUCCACCAUUGUUGAUGUCUCACCUGAAUAGCCAAUCUCCAGAGCUAUGGCUUGCAAGGCAAUGUCCUUUUUGGAGUUGUAUUUGUAAUGACGGGAACUUUGGUCAUGCAAUUCGACAUAUUUUUCCUCUCAGGGGCGGCGACGCUAGGGAAUAGAAUAUUGGCUCGAAGACUAGUUGGGCGGGGCGGCGGGGAACGCUGCCGCGCGGCUAGUCGGCACCGGUGUGGGCUAGUACAUCCGGAAUAAUGGGGGCAGACUUUUUGACGCGCCGCUUCGGCACCGGUGUGUUUAGGCCUUAAAGGCUUGAUUCCACCGGAGGCGUACGCGCCGCGGCACGGCUGCGCCGCGGUCACCGCUGCUGAUCGCUUCCAAUCUAAUCAAUGCGCCGCGGCGCUAUCUUUCCGUCGCACUUCUAUUUUUGCCGCGAGCCGCUGCUAGACCGCGUCAAUUUCAACAGAGCAGAUCGAGCAGGGCAGGAAGUGAAAAAGUAAUAGCCAUAGAGCAUCCGGUCAAUUUUCAAAAUAAAACACAAUACUCAGCUCAUGUAACUUCACAUCAACAUUAUUACGUCAUGACCGGUGGCACCAGGUCAGCAGUAAAUCAAUCAAAGUGUCGGCAACAUGGACGACGAGAGACUCAUUGUCGAAUUUCAGCAACAUGAAGUCUUUUAUGUUCCAAAUCAUCCUUUUUAUAAGGAAAAUGUCAGAAAGGACAAAGCGUGGCAUUUAAUUGCAAUAGUUUUGGGAGUGGAAGGUGAAUACAUUAGGUUUAGGAUUAUCGCGUGAUCUCGUGAUCUCGCGUGAAUACGGCUGGCUCGCAAGGCAGCGCUACGCUGCCGUUACGCGCCCGGUAGGAAUGGACGCAGGACAGAGGACGCAGCCGUUCCGCGGCCCGUACGCGUCCGGUGGAAUCCCGGUGUAACGUGCACACACCGCAGCGACACUCGCCCAGCUAAGACGUUUGUCAACGGCGGAGAGGUUUGUCGACGGUGGAGCCGAUAUGUUUAAAAACAUAACAGUUCCGCUGUCGACAAACUCUCCCAGGUAAGACGUUCAGUCUAUAGACUAUAUAAAUUGCGAUAAAAUAAGGGAAGAGACAAUUUCUCACCUCGACAAGCAACGGCAGGUCUUUCAUUUUGUCAUAUAAAAACCUUUAAAUUCAAACAUCGUACCGACCGGCAUAUCAACAAACAAGUGCCGUGAUCUUAUAGAGACAUUGUCCCUAUAACACAAUGAAAACAAGUCAAUAACACAGUUGGCUAUGGUGAAUUAUGUCUAUAGAAUCCACCACAAGACUACACUUUACUCUCCUCCUUGAGCCUCCCGAAAUGUCUUCACACUUUGUUUCUCAAACUUAAUAUUACUCCCUUCCUUAAGCCUCCCGAUAUAUCUUGCGACUGUUUUAGUUGUUCUAUUUUUCUUAUGUUUUGUGUGUCUGCUAUGAGUAGGGAUGGGAAUCGAGAACCGGUUCUUGUUCAGAACCGGUGCCGAGGCUGUUUCCCAAUGUGAAGGCUGCAGCCUUGCUAGGAUGCGUCCUUGCUAGUCGCGUCCUAUGGAGAUGAGACUAGAGUGCUAGCUCGAGUGCUUCCUAGGGUUUUUAACGUUCAGACUUUUGAACGACUUGCUAGUGUGGAAGCGCUUCCGCUUUUUAAUACUGCGUUUCCGCUUGUAAACACAUGUGCGCUUAUGGAUAAAACAUGGCAGCAAUCUAGCUGAUCGAUAUUUAUUUGACUUUUGUCUGUUAUAAAUGCGGUCAUGUCUCCUUCGCAUGGAGCCUCUUUGAGGAAGUUACAAAAACUUUUUUUGCGGUUCAUCGAAUCGUCUUUAGAAAAAAAAAAAUCCACUAAAUUUUUAUAAAACUAAGUGAAAUUGUCUGAGAACUUAAUUCAUGCAUCACAUUUACAGUAUGGUUGAUUACUAUUAUGCAGGGGGAAAAAGACAAAGAAAGUGAUAAUAAACAUGUAUUUAUUUGGAUAUAUUAUUUAACUGAUCUGAUUCAUUCAUUCAUUUAUACCUACAAUCUACCAGUGCUUUGAACACAUAAGUAUAUUAUAUAAAAUACAAUUAUAUACGUUCAUUACAAAUUACAAACAUUGCAAAUGAUCGGUGGUGCAUUUAUUUGACAAUAUGUUUGUGCGCCACCCUAUGGUGCACAAAGGCCUCCGUUUGCUGGGCUGACCCUAAAAAAAAAGAUUAAACACAAACAUAAAUAGGUAGGCCUAUACAUAAACAAUGUAAUCUUGUGAGCGAGUAAAUUGACAUUGGUGACAGUGGUGUUUAACACCAGCUACGUCCAUGCAAAAUAUAGCAACGUGUAUCAUUAAGUUGCAAAAACGUUUGAAAAAUGGCACAGGUCUUUAAGCUUGAUUAUUUGCAUUAACAUGAUGAAUCUAUAAAAACCGAUACGGCACAAAAUAUUUCUGAAAACUUUAAUAUAACUUCACUUACAUUUGAACGUGCACUGCUUUCCCCCAUUUUCAAUAUCCCGUGCAGCGUGUGAACGCAGAGGAUUGUGGGUAGUUUUUGUCUCGUCUAGGAUGCAGCGAUGCAUCCUUGAAAAAUCUCGGAAUUCUCAGAAACAAAGUACGCGAAAAUGGCGCGGCUUUCGAGUGUCCUCAACAUUGGAACAGUGCUUGUCUGCGUUCUAUGACGUAGCGUCCUUAAAAGGGCGGCGGUUGAGCAUGCUUCCUUGACAUUGGUAAACACCCCGAGUCAACCGAUUCCUUGUAAUCAUUAGAAAGCCUGAUUAAAGGAUUCCGCUUAUCGGUUCCGGUCGCGGCAAAUGCGUCAUGACGUCACACACACGCUGCUUUGUUUUGGUUUAGAACGCAGCAAACAUGGCGCCGCCGAGGAAGAAGCGCACUGUUCGUUCACACCAAACGCGACGGUGCGACAAGAUCCCAUACAAAGUGCACGUAUAGACGUGUAUCGGGCGUUUUGAUUUGUCGCGCCACACUUUCGCAGUGCACAGGGGAGCGCGUUCACGAGGAUUUGUGCCGCGACAAAUUUGCUCGAGUUGAAAUAUUUAAACUUUGACGCGAAUUUCGCGUGAUGACAGCCAAUCAGCGUUCAAUAGCGUGACCACUGAGUGACAUGUGUAACGUAACAGCCAAUCAGCGUUCAACCGUCAAACUCAGUGCAGUGCAGUCCGGGUGAACUGCAGCAUGGAGGAGAAAGUGAUUUUUGCCGUUUGCGACUCCCGGAGCUCUAUAUAUAAUAGUAUAUAAUAUAAUAUAAUUGUAGAUAUAAUAUCACGGCCAACAGCUCUGUGCGCCACCGGAUGGCCGUAGCGUGGGGAGCUCUCAUAGGGAUUGGGCUUCUCGGGGUUUGUUUACCGGCGUUGCUAUGGUUUCCGGUCUUGUGUGUUCCAACGGUUUAGGCCCAUAUGUGUAUAUAUAUAUGGGUAGGCCCAUCUAAUAAAUCUCUGUCUAAUCAAUACUUCAUUCACUGCCUCUUCCAUGCGUCGGGUCCUCCGACGUCCCUCCCUCUUCCACAAAAGGUAAAGACAUGCAAUGGUGGUUAUCUUGUAGAGUUUCCAUUUCAUCAAAGGGGGGAACUACCUCCAAUAUGCUGAAACAUUUGGCUACACAGCAUGCAAUUCAAUUUGCAGGAAUGUCGUUGAUAUAUUUUGUUCAUGUCAGUUGAAUUUUGUUACAAGUUGAAUGCAAAUGAGCACUGUUAGUAGGCCUAUUCAAUUGAGUGAAGGGUUAGCCAUUGUUCUAUCAUCCUCGAAUGUGGAGUCAUGUUGAAAUAUGAAUAUAACUACAGGGUUUCAAUUUGUAAAGGUUGCAACUGUGCACACGUUAGAAACCAAACCAAAAAAAACAAAAAAAAAAUCUUAAGACGAAGAUACAUGCAUUAGCCUAGUUUUGGACAAAAAAAGAUUCCUAAAAAAAAGUAAUUAAGUAAUUAAUGUUUCCAUACCUUGCUGAAUAGGUGACCUCAAUGAAUGAAAAGGCAAUUUCCAUUUCUUUGUGCCCUCAAACUAUAAAGAUCGUUUUCUAGAUUUGUUUUACAAAAAUGUUUCUGUUUUGGCCAAUUGAAUAUGAAAUCAACUUCUCCUGAGGGGACGCACUCAUUCAUAAAUGUAACUGGGUCAUGUCAAGCUCGUUCUCUAAUUCCAUCAGCCAUCCUCCCCUUUACUCCAGCCCAAAUUAGAGCAGUACUUUCAAUUUUAAGUUAUUCAUCAAAUUGAAUACAGAGGGCAUACAUUAUCCUUGGCCAUAAAAUUGUGUGUGUGUUUGUGUUUGUGUGUGGGGGGGGAAACGGCGUGCGUCCAUGUGUGUGCGUGUGUGCCAGGGAUGGAAAUUAACUUUUUUCUUUUUCUACCAGCCACUGUGGCAGGUAGAUUUAAAAAUCGACCAGCCACUCAUCUUUUUUACCAGCCACUUUUUAUACGCUAUAUAUAUUUUUAAUUAUAUUUUCAAUAAAAAACAAAUUGACAUAUUAACAAUAAAACAACAUGCAUGGCUACACCAUCAUAACAUGUUAUUUACAUGUGACUGCAUACAAAUGUGUCCACAGACCUGGGGUCUCAUUUAUAACCGUUGCGUACGCACAAAACGGGGCUGAAAUUGGCGUACGUGACUUUCCACGCCAAGGUUGUGAUCUAUAAAAAACCAACUUGACGGGAGAAUGUGCGCAGCCCUAAGCAAACUCUGACCCAUGCGUACGCAUGGUUUAGAAGAAAAGGAGAAUUGGCGACACAGAUGGUGUGGUGGUGAACUGAAGUCAGACAGAAGAAUUGUAGAGUGAGAAGAAUGAUUGUCUUAUCAUCGCCCUUCAAAAAUUUAAUUUCAACCCGUAUCAUGCGUUAAAUCUAUGUAAUCAGAAUAAUUUAAGUCAACUGCAUUAUUUCUCAGUUAUAACUCCAGAAACAUCUCCUUAGAAUAGAAAUAAAAAAAAAUCUCUAUAUUUAAUCCCGUCACUCCAUACUAUCCACUGACGGCGCGACUACAUGGAAUAAAGCAUCUGUCCAACAUGUGUCAAUAACAUAAUAUUUGUAUGUGACACUGUAAACACAUAAUCAAAUGUCAAUUAAAUCCCAAGUGUGGAAAACCAAGCCACACUCAUCACAAUCGUUGUCCGUUACUCUUGAUGCUUUUCAUGGCAAAUCAGGUAUUGAAAAGGGGUUAUGUUCAAGAACAUUUUACUUGGGUGAUUACAAACUGAUUAUCCAAGGUGUUCUCGGUCAGUCUUAUUACCGUAACCCUAUAAAUAAAGAGGUGAGCGCCGUGGUAAUGCUGCACCAUAUGGCACUUCUGGGGGACCAUGAAAAUGGCAGGAUUCGGAGGGAGAGGGUCUUUAGGGACCAUAACGAUUUAUUGGUAGGCUACAUACCUACCUUUAUGUCAGACCACAUCUUUUUUAAUUCUGGGACUGUGCGCUCCGUGCUACUGACAGAGUUCACUGCUGCAGCAACAGUUGCCACUCACUCUGCUUUUUGUUGUUGGCGAUCCCAAUCCCGUGACCCCUAAACAAACCUACUUUUCGGGCCUCCAUCUCACCCACAAGUGUCUCCACUUCAACCUCCGUGAAAUUUCGCUUUUUUGCUUUUCUCAGUACUUCUGCCAUUGUUUCCGACAAGACAUAACACUUGCAUCUUCGUCUCUUUUAUAUGCAGAUCGCAUUCAUGAGGUCAUUUGCAUUGACCAUUUAUGGUUAAAAAUGGGCGUGUAUAUGGCGGAACGUGAAGCUGAUUCAGCUGCGCACACUUGUAGGCACUCUGUGAUUUAUAAAGCAAAGAUUGCGUACGGUGUGCGUACGCAGGGUUUUAUAAAUCUGAAUAUUUUUUGGCGCAUGCAAAACUUGGCUUUUGGUUGACGUACACUUUUAGUAACGAUCCCACGCACAGUUUUAUAAAUGAGACCCCAGGUAACUAACGUAUGAUAGUAAGCAUUAUUGGCCCUUAACACUAAUAUUCAGAAAAAACACUGCCUCAAAAGGCUAUUGGCUUAAGCAAUACAAGUAGAGGCAUAUACUUGAACUUUAUACCCUGAACUUUUAAACGUUGCAAACGUGCAAAAACAUAAUUAUAUAUAUGUGGCAUUCUGUCCAAUGCUGAAAAUAUAUCUGUGGCAUUAGGCCAAUGCUGUGGUAAUGUGUGUAAAGUAUGACCAAGUGUUUCUUUCUAUUCAAUAGUCUAGAUAGAACUUUAUCAAUCCCCUGUAGGAUAAAUUUGUUAAUGUUUGUCCCUAUAAAACAAUAAUGGUAAAAAAAUAAAUACAAAACACGACGGUAGCUGAGUAAGUCAAACCGUCCAAUCUGAAGGCUCUACUUAACCACUCCCCCUACUCACUUCCACCAUUGCAAAAAGAACAGAACUGAGUAGGGGAGGGCGUAGCCUAACUAGUUUGUGAACGACCCAGAGAAACGCAACGCAAAUUCAAUGUGAACAUUUAUGAGGCUUUAAUAAAAUCCUGGACGAUUUUAAAUUCCGCAAAACAUUUUUUAAAAGUGUCUCAAAAAGAGGGCAUGUCCGGGCAAAAGAGGACGUCUGGUUAACCUACGUACGGGAAACACAUUUGAUUCCUACCUGUAACACUGUUAAAUAGCGGCCCAAAUUGGUGGGCGCUAUCCUGGUAAUUUCUCUGCGUGAGAAAUACGAAGUAUGGCGUGUGAGCGUGUGCAAGGGUUGAAUUCAUGGGGCAAGCCCCAGGAAUCUUCCGGCUUCCAUGAAAGAGAACCAAACUAAUUCACACAAAAGCGUUCAUGCAAAUCUAGCAUUAAAGGUUAAUUUAAGGAAGUUCUCUCCAGUCACGCUGAAAGUAGUUCGCUAGUAGUAGCGCUUUAAAUUGCAGUGUCAGAGAAUUCUGAGAAAUCUGAAUGCUGACUAAAUUCUCAGAAUUCUGACACUGCAAAUUAUUGCACGCUAGUGAACUACAAAAAAAAAAACUUGAAAGUGGAACAUUGCUGCCAUCAUGGGAAAUUAAUGUAGCCUAGGCCUAUUGUAAGUAGCUUUCAAUUCCUUGUUCUUUUGUUGAACAUAUCCCCCACUAGAUUCCCCCACCCCCACGCAGAUUUUGUCCUGUAGAAACCUAUAUGCUGGAAACCGAUACGCCCUCUCAACCACAAAAUGUUUGAGUCACUUCUAUGGAAGUAAAUCUGUGCCAUCUGAGUUUUAAACUAAAAUGCCAUUGAAUUCUAAGCACUGAAUAAUUAUGCAUUGAAAUAAUUUAUCUGGAUUUGAAUUUCAACGUAAUCAACGUCCCCACGUUGAAUUUUUUAACGCAGAAUAUUUGAUUUUGAAUUUUUAACAUUGAAAAAUAAAGCUGAAUAGGAGUUAGAUUCAAAUCCAGAUACGAAGUGUAUGGAUUUACUUCCAUACACUUCUCCUUCGUCAUGCUUAACUGAUCAUGCCUCUCUUGUUGGUUACACAAAUCUUACCAUGGACACUCCCAGAACCAGCCAGACAAUUCACGUCUGUUAAUUUAUGAAUGGAAUUAUGAACGUGUCCCGCCUCCGAAAUAGCCUGGCUAUAGCCAUGCUGCCUUGGGCGCGAUUUCGUUUCGCGCUGCGAGGCAGCCUGGAUUCCAUGGAUCUGAUUUUCGCCUGAGAUGGGGAACCAAUCACAGAACGGGGAGGGACGGCAAGACGAUGACGACGUCUAUUCGACACGCCCAUCGUCUUCUUCCGAAUUGCUUGUGUCUCACGCAUGGACAUGAGAGCUGUGUUGGAAAUCGUUCCCUAUACACUCACUCACUAUUCCCGAUAUAGUGCACUAUAUAGGGAACGAACAAACGAGAAUUCGGACA